AUUGAACGCUGGCGGCAGGCCUAACACAUGCAAGUCGAGCGGAUGAAGGGAGCUUGCUCCUGGAUUCAGCGGCGGACGGGUGAGUAAUGCCUAGGAAUCUGCCUGGUAGUGGGGGAUAACGUCGGGAAACGGGCGCUAAUAUCGCAUACGUCCUGAGGGAGAAAGUGGGGGAUCUUCGGACCUCACGCUAUCAGAUGAGCCUAGGUCGGAUUAGCUAGUUGGUGGGGUAAAGGCCUACCAAGGCGACGAUCCGUAACUGGUCUGAGAGGAUGAUCAGUCACACUGGAACUGAGACACGGUCCAGACUCCUACGGGAGGCAGCAGUGGGGAAUAUUGGGCAAUGGGCGAAAGCCUGAUCCAGCCAUGCCGCGUGUGUGAAGAAGGUCUUCGGAUUGUAAAGCACUUUAAGUUGGGAGGAAGGGCAGUAAGUUAAUACCUUGCUGUUUUGACGUUACCAACAGAAUAAGCACCGGCUAACUUCGUG
RNAcentral lists this ribosomal RNA (484 nucleotides) under uncultured bacterium. RNAcentral's name for it is "partial 16S ribosomal RNA". It matches the Rfam family "Bacterial small subunit ribosomal RNA", at positions 30 to 507 of the family's 1533-position model. The record is from RNAcentral.